UUUUUUACUCUAAAAAAAAUUAGAACAGUUUCAGAUAUAUUGAAAAUAUAUUUAGUUUUGUAUUUAGCGAUAAAAAAUCAAAGUCAUUAGACAAUGAUAGUUUGAAAGAAUAUUGUCUUAAUCUUGAAUGUUUCUUAAAAUAUAAUAACUACUCUGAUAUUGAUGAUUUAGAUUUAUUUUCAGAGCUAAAAAUUAAAAAAAAAUUAUACAAGCGG
This 215-nucleotide long non-coding RNA is filed under the name Elaeis guineensis (African oil palm). RNAcentral describes it as "long non-coding RNA (EGUI_LNC016327)". Lineage: Eukaryota; Viridiplantae; Streptophyta; Magnoliopsida; Arecales; Arecaceae. The record is from RNAcentral.